Molecule: ribosomal RNA, 253 nt
Filed under: uncultured bacterium
Lineage: Bacteria
Description: partial 16S ribosomal RNA
Rfam family: Bacterial small subunit ribosomal RNA
Source: RNAcentral
UACAGAGACUGCAAGCGUUAUUCGGAUUCACUGGGCGUAAAGGGUGCGCAGGCGGCCAAGUGUGUGAGGCGUGAAAGCCUGGGGCUUAACUCCAGAAUUGCACCUCAAACUACAUGGCUAGAGCAUUGGAGAGGGUAGCAGAAUUCACGGUGUAGCAGUGAAAUGCGUAGAUAUUGGGAGGAACACCAGUGGCGAAGGCGGCUCACUGGACCGGUACUGACGCUGAGGCGCGAAAGCGUGGGGAGCGAACAGG